Small nucleolar RNA from Ornithorhynchus anatinus (platypus), 138 nucleotides. NCBI's taxonomy places the organism in Eukaryota, Metazoa, Chordata, Mammalia, Monotremata, Ornithorhynchidae. The record is from RefSeq and is a predicted model, not a curated record.
CCCCUCUCAGGGUCGCACCUGGAGAGUUUCCAGUACUCUUCCAGGCUUGGUUAUGGGAGAGAGAGUCAAGCAGAGGCAUAUCCAUUCCAUUCCUAGCUUGGCCAGUGGCUAGCGAGUGGAAGGCCAUCUGCUACUCAC